GACGAACGCUUGCGGCGUGCCUAAGAAAUGCAAGUCGAACGGGGGCAGCAAUGCCCCAGUGGCGAACGGUCGCGUAACACGUAGGCAACCUGCCCUAAAGUGGGGGACAACGUUCCGAAAGGGGCGCUAAUACCGCAUAUUAACGACAGACGGCAUCGUUUGUUGUUCAAAGCCUUCGGGCGCUUUGGGAUGGGCUUGCGGCCUAUCAGCUAGUUGGUGGGGUAACGGCCUACCAAGGCGUUGACGGGUAGCUGGUCUGAGAGGAUGUCCAGCCGGAUUGGGACUGAGAUACGGCCCAGACUCCUACGGGGGGCAGCAAUUAGGAAUCUUGCACAAUGGGGGAAACCCUGAUGCAGCGACGCCGCGUGGAGGAUGACGGCCUUCGGGUUGUAAACUCCUUUUUUCCGGGAAGAAGAAUGUGACGGUACCGGAAGAAUAAGCCCCGGCUAACUACGUGCCAGCAGCAGCGGUAAUACGUAGGGGGCGAGCGUUGUCCGAAGUUACUGGGCGUAAAGCGCGCGUAGGCGGCUUUUUAAGUCUGAGGUGAAAGGUUCACGGCUCAACCGGAACAUUGCCUUGGAUACUGGAGAGCUUGAGUGCGGGAGAGGAGAGUGGAAUUCCUGGUGUAGCGGUGAAAUGCGUAGAUAUCAGGAGGAACACCCGUGGCGAAGGCGGCUCUCUGGCCUGCAACUGACGCUGAGGUGCGAAAGCAUGGGGAGCAAACAGGAUUAGAUACCCUGGUAGUCCAUGCCGUAAACGAUGAGCGCUAGGUGUCCGCGGUAUCGACCCCGCGGGUGCCGCAGCUAACGCAAUAAGCGCUCCGCCUGGGGAGUACGGCCGCAAGGUUG
RNAcentral lists this ribosomal RNA (848 nucleotides) under uncultured bacterium. RNAcentral describes it as "bacterial SSU rRNA". It matches the Rfam family "Bacterial small subunit ribosomal RNA", at positions 28 to 896 of the family's 1533-position model. The record is from RNAcentral.